RNAcentral lists this ribosomal RNA (253 nucleotides) under uncultured bacterium. Its description in RNAcentral is "partial 16S ribosomal RNA". It matches the Rfam family "Bacterial small subunit ribosomal RNA", at positions 524 to 776 of the family's 1533-position model. The record is from RNAcentral.
UACGUAGGGUGCGAGCGUUAAUCGGAAUUACUGGGCGUAAAGCGUGCGCAGGCGGUUAUGGAAGACAGAUGUGAAAUCCCCGGGCUCAACCUGGGAACUGCAUUUGUGACUGCAUAGCUAGAGUACGGUAGAGGGGGAUGGAAUUCCGCGUGUAGCAGUGAAAUGCGUAGAUAUGCGGAGGAACACCGAUGGCGAAGGCAAUCCCCUGGACCUGUACUGACGCUCAUGCACGAAAGCGUGGGGAGCAAACAGG